RNAcentral lists this ribosomal RNA (475 nucleotides) under uncultured bacterium. RNAcentral's name for it is "bacterial SSU rRNA". It matches the Rfam family "Bacterial small subunit ribosomal RNA", at positions 28 to 507 of the family's 1533-position model. The record is from RNAcentral.
GAUGAACGCUGGCGGCGUGCCUAACACAUGCAAGUCGAACGAAGCACUUCGAUUUCCUCGGAAUGAAAAAGUGACUGAGUGGCGGACGGGUGAGUAACGCGUGGGUAACCUGCCUCAUACAGGGGGAUAACAGUUGGAAACGACUGCUAAUACCGCAUAACACAUCGAGGGGGCAUCCCCAUGAUGUCAAAGAUUUAUCGCUGAAAGAUGGGCUCGCGUCUGAUUAGCUAGUUGGUGGGGUAACGGCCUACCAAGGCGACGAUCAGUAGCCGGACUGAGAGGUUGAACGGCCACAUUGGGACUGAGAUACGGCCCAGACUCCUACGGGAGGCAGCAGUGGGGAAUAUUGGGGCAAUGGGGGCAACCCUGACCCAGCAACGCCGCGUGAAGGAAGAAGGCUUUCGGGUUGUAAACUUCUUUUACCAGGGACGAAGACGUGACGGUACCUGGAGAAAAAGCCACGGCUAACUACGUG